RNAcentral lists this long non-coding RNA (579 nucleotides) under Homo sapiens (human). RNAcentral describes it as "non-protein coding MIR99AHG:8". Lineage: Eukaryota; Metazoa; Chordata; Mammalia; Primates; Hominidae. The record is from RNAcentral.
CUUUCUUUAGCUUGCCCAUGGUGAUGUGAAGAUGAGAAGAAAUAGCAAGGCCCAACCAGUUCUUCAUCUGGAGACAGUUCAACGUUCUGCAAACCAGAUCUUCAGGAAUUUUACUGGGAUAAUUAUCCAAAUAAAUUGCAAGCAUUCUAUCCAAAUGGAGCUCUUUCUGAGAUGAAGAGAAUUCUCAAUGUCAAGAUUUGAACAAGAAGAGAAUGGAAUACACAAUAUGGACAUCCAUAAAAAUUCAUCAGAGAGCAUUUUACUACUGAGCUGCAAAGGGAAAAACUUAAAAUGGAUAUGAAAAGUGAAGAAAGUGAUCAUAGGAGAAAACCAUUUCAGGUGUCUGAUGAUUUGUGAGCCUCAAGUGACUACUCUGUGGAAUCAUCUGUCCUUGCCUUUGAAUUAGCUUUCCCUAGGCCAUGAGUCAACAUUAGUAGUUUAUACAUCCAAAUUGAUGACAAGAGCACCUCAAAGGCAGCAGCCUCAAGGAGCAGCCAUGGCCCCAGACUUGUCGCACGGAUGCAGAAAACUUAAUGGAGGAGGCUGAGGUCAGAAUGGGAAGAGUUUUUAAAAAAUAAA